This 608-nucleotide ribosomal RNA is filed under the name Limnoraphis robusta CCAP 1446/4. RNAcentral's name for it is "bacterial SSU rRNA". It matches the Rfam family "Bacterial small subunit ribosomal RNA", at positions 123 to 762 of the family's 1533-position model. The record is from RNAcentral. Lineage: Bacteria; Bacillati; Cyanobacteriota; Cyanophyceae; Oscillatoriales; Sirenicapillariaceae.
GAUCUGCCUCUAGGACUGGGACAACAGAAGGAAACUUCUGCUAAUCCCGGAUGAGCCGCAAGGUGAAAGAUUUAUCGCCUAGAGAUGAGCUCGCGUCUGAUUAGCUAGUUGGUAAGGUAAAAGCUUACCAAGGCAACGAUCAGUAGCUGGUCUGAGAGGAUGAUCAGCCACACUGGGACUGAGACACGGCCCAGACUCCUACGGGAGGCAGCAGUGGGGAAUUUUCCGCAAUGGGCGCAAGCCUGACGGAGCAAGACCGCGUGGGGGAGGAAGGCUCUUGGGUUGUAAACCCCUUUUCUCAGGGAAGAACCAAAUGACGGUACCUGAGGAAUCAGCCUCGGCUAACUCCGUGCCAGCAGCCGCGGUAAUACGGAGGAGGCAAGCGUUAUCCGGAAUGAUUGGGCGUAAAGCGUUCGUAGGUGGCUAUUCAAGUCUGCUGUCAAAGACAGAAGCUCAACUUCUGAAAGGCAGUGGAAACUGAGUAGCUGGAGUGCGGUAGGGGCAGAGGGAAUUCCCGGUGUAGCGGUGAAAUGCGUAGAGAUCGGGAAGAACACCGGUGGCGAAAGCGCUCUGCUGGGCCGCAACUGACCACUGAGGGACGAAAGCUA